This is a non-coding RNA of Salvia hispanica, 359 nucleotides long. NCBI's taxonomy places the organism in Eukaryota, Viridiplantae, Streptophyta, Magnoliopsida, Lamiales, Lamiaceae. The record is from RefSeq and is a predicted model, not a curated record.
CAAUAAUCAGAAUGCCAACAAUAAUCAGGAAGGGGUAAUAGUUUUGGGUGUUUAUAUUCAUUGUGAAGGCUGCGCAAAUGAAGUGCUCAACCAUCUUCGUGGAUUUCAAGAUGUGGAGGGGGUGGAAAUUGAUGCCAAGAAUCACAAAGUUAGAGUGAAGGGGGCAAAUGCAGAUCCCAUCAAAGUUAGUGAGAGAUUGAGGAUAAAAAGUGGGAAACAUGUUGAAUUGAUUUCUCCUCAAAAACAAGACAAGAAGGAAGAGGAAAAGAAACCUGAGCCAACGGUGUCCGAGGUAGUGUUGAAAGUUUACAUACACUGCGAGGGGUGUGCAAAUGAAGUGAAGCAUUGCAUCCUAAAAA